Molecule: ribosomal RNA, 492 nt
Filed under: uncultured bacterium
Lineage: Bacteria
Description: bacterial SSU rRNA
Rfam family: Bacterial small subunit ribosomal RNA
Source: RNAcentral
AUUGAACGCUGGCGGCAUGCCUUACACAUGCAAGUCGAACGCGAAAGGGGGGCAACUCCUGAGUAGAGUGGCGCACGGGUGAGUAAUACAUCGGAACGUGUCCUGUAGCGGGGGAUAACCUAGCGAAAGCUAGGCUAAUACCGCAUACGUCCUAAGGGAGAAAGUGGGGGAUCGUAAGACCUCACACUAUAGGAGCGGCCGAUGCCGGAUUAGCUAGUUGGUGGGGUAAAAAGCUCACCAAGGCGACGAUCCGUAGCUGGUCUGAGAGGAUGAUCAGCCACACUGGGACUGAGACACGGCCCAGACUCCUACGGGAGGCAGCAGUGGGGAAUAUUGGACAAUGGGCGCAAGCCUGAUCCAGCAAUACCGCGUGUGUGAAGAAGGCCCUAGGGUUGUAAAGCACUUUCAAUGGGGAGGAAAAGAGUAAGCUAAUACCUUGCUUAUUGACAUUACCCAUACAAGAAGCACCGGCUAACUCCGUGCCAGCAGCCG